RNAcentral lists this ribosomal RNA (410 nucleotides) under uncultured bacterium. Its description in RNAcentral is "bacterial SSU rRNA". It matches the Rfam family "Bacterial small subunit ribosomal RNA", at positions 612 to 1021 of the family's 1533-position model. The record is from RNAcentral.
ACCUGGGAACUGCAUUUGAAACUGGCAGGCUUGAGUCUUGUAGAGGGGGGUAGAAUUCCAGGUGUAGCGGUGAAAUGCGUAGAGAUCUGGAGGAAUACCGGUGGCGAAGGCGGCCCCCUGGACAAAGACUGACGCUCAGGUGCGAAAGCGUGGGGAGCAAACAGGAUUAGAUACCCUGGUAGUCCACGCCGUAAACGAUGUCGACUUGGAGGUUGUGCCCUUGAGGCGUGGCUUCCGGAGCUAACGCGUUAAGUCGACCGCCUGGGGAGUACGGCCGCAAGGUUAAAACUCAAAUGAAUUGACGGGGGCCCGCACAAGCGGUGGAGCAUGUGGUUUAAUUCGAUGCAACGCGAAGAACCUUACCUACUCUUGACAUCCAGAGAACUUGGCAGAGAUGCCUUGGUGCCUUC